Molecule: ribosomal RNA, 799 nt
Filed under: uncultured Glomus
Lineage: Eukaryota; Fungi; Glomeromycota; Glomeromycetes; Glomerales; Glomeraceae
Description: SSU rRNA
Rfam family: Eukaryotic small subunit ribosomal RNA
Source: RNAcentral
AUCAACUUUCGAUGGUAGGAUAGAGGCCUACCAUGGUGGUAACGGGUAACGGGGUGUUAGGGCACGACACCGGAGAGGGAGCCUGAGAAACGGCUACCACAUCCAAGGAUGGCAACAGGCGCGCAAAUUACCCAAUCCCGACACGGGGAGGUAGUGACAAUAAAUAACAAUACGGGGUUCUUUAGGAUUUCGUAAUUGGAAUGAGUACAAUUUAAACCUCUUAACGAGGAACAAUUGGAGGGCAAGUCUGGUGCCAGCAGCCGCGGUAAUUCCAGCUCCAAUAGCGUAUAUUAAAGUUGUUGCAGUUAAAAAGCUCGUAGUUGAAUUUCGGGGUCAGUAGGUUGGUCAUGCCACUGGUAUGUACUGGUCUCACUGAUUCCUCCUUCCUGAUGAGCCGUAAUGCCAUUAAUUUGGUGUUGCGAGGAAUCUGGACUGUUACUUUGAAAAAAUUAGAGUGUUUAAAGCAGGCUAACGCUUGAAUACAUUAGCAUGGAAUAAUGAAAUAGGACGUUCGAUCUUAUUUUGUUGGUUUCUAAGAUUGACGUAAUGAUUAAUAGGGAUAGUUGGGGGCAUUAGUAUUCAAUUGUCAGAGGUGAAAUUCUUGGAUUUAUUGAAGACUAACUACUGCGAAAGCAUUUGCCAAGGAUGUUUUCAUUAAUCAAGAACGAAAGUUAGGGGAUCGAAGACGAUCAGAUACCGUCGUAGUCUUAACCAUAAACUAUGCCGACUAGGGAUCGGAUGAUGUUAAUUUUUUAAUGACUCAUUCGGCGCCUUACGGGAAACCAAAGUGUUUGGGUUC